AACAACAAUGAAAAGCCGAGUCCAACUCAUUCCUGCCUUGAGUCUCUCUCAGACACUCCAUUUAGGCUGCUAUGACAAAAUACAGUAGUAUCUCCUGUAUCCCACAGAAGACACAUUCCAAGACCCCUAUGGGAAGCUUAUUGAUUUUUCUAUACUUAUAUACCUAUGAUAAAGCUUAAUUUAUAAAUUCGGUUUCAUAAGAAAUUAGCAACGACAAUUAACAAAAUAGAAAAAUUUUAACAAUAUACUAUAAGUUACUUAAAACUGAUGAACUGAUUAUUUCUGGAAUUUUCAUCUGAUAUUGUUCGUUUUGCAGUUGACCAAGGGUUACUAAAAAUUUAAAAAGUGAAACUGGGUACCAGGGGAUAAAUGUUCCAUACAGUGGGUAGCUUAUAAACAAUAGAAAUUUGUUUUUCACAGUUCUGGAGGCUGGGAAGUUUAUGAUCAAGGUGCCAGCAAAUUGGUGUCUGCUGAGGGCCUUUUUUUCUGAUUCUUCCUGUAUCCUCACUAACCUGAAGGAAUAGUCUAUCUUGGACCUCUCUUAGAAGAGUACUAAUCCCAUUCACAAGACUUCAUGACCUAGUCACCUCCCUACCCUUGUAAUGGAUGUGGAAAGGUCUUUAAAUGUAUUUUAGCCCUUACUCAACAUUAUAGAACUCAGACUGGAAAGAAACCAUAUGAGUAUACUGAGUGUGGGAAAGGCUUCAGUCAUAGCAUGCACCUUACUGAACAUCAGGGAAUUCAUUCUGGAGAGAAAUACUACCAGCAUUGGAAAGUUUUUUUGGCCACAGCACAUCACUAAUUUGAUAUCAGAGAACUCAUAUAGGAGAGAAACCUUAUGAAUGUAGUAAAUGUGGGAAAGUCUUCAGCCAUGCCCCAGCCUUUACUCAACAUCAGAGAAUCCACACCAAAGAGAAACCCUAUGAAUGUAAUGAAUGUAGAAAGGCCAGGGUGCACACCUCACUAAACACCAGAGAACUCAUCUGGGAGAGAAAGUAUGUUUGUAAAGAAUUUGGAAAAACCUUCAGCCAAAGUACACACCUUACUGAACUUCUGAAAACUCAUUCUGGUGAGAAACCCUAACAAUAUACAGAAUGCCAUAAACUAUUUUCCUAUAGAACAUCACUAAUUUGAUAUCAGAGGACUCACAGAAGAGAAUUCCUAUUGAUAUAAUGAAUAUGGGAAAUCCUUCAACUUAAGCUCUGCCCUUACUUAACAUAAACAUAAACAUACACAUGCACAUACAC
RNAcentral lists this long non-coding RNA (1247 nucleotides) under Marmota monax (woodchuck). Lineage: Eukaryota; Metazoa; Chordata; Mammalia; Rodentia; Sciuridae. The record is from RNAcentral.